UACGUAGGGUGCAAGCAUUAAUCGGAUUUAUUGGGCGUAAAGGGCGCGUAGGCGGAAAUGCCAGUCAGAUGUGAAAUCCCGGGGCUCAACCCCGGAACAGCAUUUGAAACUACAUUUCUAGAGGGUAGGCGGAGAAAACGGAAUUCCACAAGUAGCGGUGAAAUGCGUAGAGAUGCGGCGGAACACCGAUGGCGAAGGCAGCCCCCUGGGCUGAGAUUGACGCUCAGGCACGAAAGCGUGGGGAGCAAACAGA
This 253-nucleotide ribosomal RNA is filed under the name uncultured bacterium. RNAcentral's name for it is "partial 16S ribosomal RNA". It matches the Rfam family "Bacterial small subunit ribosomal RNA", at positions 524 to 776 of the family's 1533-position model. The record is from RNAcentral.